UUAUUUUUCACUGAAAAAAGC
RNAcentral lists this non-coding RNA (21 nucleotides) under Caenorhabditis elegans. Lineage: Eukaryota; Metazoa; Nematoda; Chromadorea; Rhabditida; Rhabditidae. The record is from RNAcentral.